RNAcentral lists this transfer RNA (66 nucleotides) under Meropathus sp. BMNH 675618. Its description in RNAcentral is "tRNA-Gly". Lineage: Eukaryota; Metazoa; Arthropoda; Insecta; Coleoptera; Hydraenidae. The record is from RNAcentral.
AUUUAUAUAGUAUAAAUAAUUAUAUUUGACUUCCAAUCAAAUGAUCUAUAAAAUAUAGUAUAAAUA